CAGUAGCCGCGGUAAUACGUAGGGCGCAAGCGUUGUCCGGAAUUAUUGGGCGUAAAGAGCUCGUAGGUGGCCUGCUGCGUCCGCUGUGAAAACUCAGGGCUUAACCCUGAGCUUGCAGUGGAUACGGGCAGGCUAGAGGUCGGUAGGGGAGAAUGGAAUUCCCGGUGUAGCGGUGAAAUGCGCAGAUAUCGGGAGGAACACCGGUGGCGAAGGCGACUCUCUGGUCUGUAACUGACGCUGAGGAGCGAAAGCGUGGGGAGCGAACAGGAUUAGAUACCCCCGUAGUCCCUGUCUCUUAUAC
Molecule: ribosomal RNA, 301 nt
Filed under: uncultured bacterium
Lineage: Bacteria
Description: partial 16S ribosomal RNA
Rfam family: Bacterial small subunit ribosomal RNA
Source: RNAcentral